CGGGAGCGAGCUACCAUGCAGUCGAGCGGAACGAUCCUAGCUUGCUAGGAGGCGUCGAGCGGCGGACGGGUGAGUAAUGCAUAGGAAUCUGCCCGGUAGUGGGGGAUAACCUGGGGAAACCCAGGCUAAUACCGCAUACGUCCUACGGGAGAAAGCAGGGGAUCUUCGGACCUUGCGCUAUCGGAUGAGCCUAUGUCGGAUUAGCUUGUUGGUGAGGUAAUGGCUCACCAAGGCGACGAUCCGUAGCUGGUCUGAGAGGAUGAUCAGCCACAUCGGGACUGAGACACGGCCCGAACUCCUACGGGAGGCAGCAGUGGGGAAUAUUGGACAAUGGGCGAAAGCCUGAUCCAGCCAUGCCGCGUGUGUGAAGAAGGCUUUCGGGUUGUAAAGCACUUUCAGUGAGGAAGAAAGCCUUCGGCCUAAUACGCCGAAGGAACGACAUCACUCACAGAAGAAGCACCGGCUAACUCCGUGCCAGCAGCCGCGGUAAUACGGAGGGUGCGAGCGUUAAUCGGAAUUACUGGGCGUAAAGCGCGCGUAGGUGGCUUGAUAAGCCGGUUGUGAAAGCCCCGGGCUCAACCUGGGAACGGCAUCCGGAACUGUCAGGCUAGAGUGCAGGAGAGGAAGGUAGAAUUCCCGGUGUAGCGGUGAAAUGCGUAGAGAUCGGGAGGAAUACCAGUGGCGAAGGCGGCCUUCUGGACUGACACUGACACUGAGGUGCGAAAGCGUGGGUAGCAAACAGGAUUAGAUACCCUGGUAGUCCACGCCGUAAACGAUGUCGACUAGCCGUUGGGGUCCUUGAGACCUUUGUGGCGCAGUUAACGCGAUAAGUCGACCGCCUGGGGAGUACGGCCGCAAGGUUAAAACUCAAAUGAAUUGACGGGGGCCCGCACAAGCGGUGGAGCAUGUGGUUUAAUUCGAUGCAACGCGAAGAACCUUACCUACCCUUGACAUCGUGCGAACUUUCCAGAGAUGGAUUGGUGCCUUCGGGAACGCACAGACAGGUGCUGCAUGGCUGUCGUCAG
RNAcentral lists this ribosomal RNA (1025 nucleotides) under Bacillus sp. D-S2-2. RNAcentral's name for it is "bacterial SSU rRNA". It matches the Rfam family "Bacterial small subunit ribosomal RNA", at positions 40 to 1058 of the family's 1533-position model. Lineage: Bacteria; Bacillati; Bacillota; Bacilli; Caryophanales; Bacillaceae. The record is from RNAcentral.